UUGAAGGAUUUGUAAGAAAUGUUUGAGGAAAGUGACUUAGUGUUAAACACUGAAUCACUUUCCUCAAACAUUUCUUAUAAAUCCUUCAA
This 89-nucleotide microRNA precursor is filed under the name Paramuricea clavata. The record is from RNAcentral. Lineage: Eukaryota; Metazoa; Cnidaria; Anthozoa; Malacalcyonacea; Plexauridae.